GACGUAGGGCGCGAGCGUUGUCCGGAUUUAUUGGGCGUAAAGAGCUCGUAGGCGGCUCAUUGCGUCAACCGUGAAAACCUGCCGCUCAACGGUAGGCUUGCGGUUGAUACGGGUGGGCUGGAGUUCGGUAGGGGAGACUGGAAUUCCUGGUGUAGCGGUGAAAUGCGCAGAUAUCAGGAGGAACACCGGUGGCGAAGGCGGGUCUCUGGGUCGAUACUGACGCUGAGGAGCGAAAGCGUGGGGAGCGAACAGG
RNAcentral lists this ribosomal RNA (253 nucleotides) under uncultured bacterium. Its description in RNAcentral is "partial 16S ribosomal RNA". It matches the Rfam family "Bacterial small subunit ribosomal RNA", at positions 524 to 776 of the family's 1533-position model. The record is from RNAcentral.